Molecule: unclassified non-coding RNA, 997 nt
Filed under: Hevea brasiliensis (rubber tree)
Lineage: Eukaryota; Viridiplantae; Streptophyta; Magnoliopsida; Malpighiales; Euphorbiaceae
Source: RNAcentral
CAGAGAUGCUGCUAAUGACAAUAAUACUGGUGUUGAUGACAUACCAGCAGUAGGAGGUAGCGGGGAUGGAAUUGAGAAUGAAAACGACGCAGCGUUGACGACUGACCUUUCUCUGGGAAGCAAUGGAAGUGGAAUGGACAGGGAUUUUGGAAAUUCUCAAGGGCAAGCAGGGCAAGAGAAUCUUGGACAGGAGAUUAGUGGCGGAGAGGUAUAGGGAAAUAUCAUGAGGAGGAGGAUACCUUGGUCUAGGAGCUCCCAGAUGGGAGGAGUUACUCUCUACAGAAGGACUCAGAAAUGGGAAUCUCAUAGCUGGUAAUUUUAUUUUAAUUUUUUUUUUUCAUAAAUUUAAGUUUCUGUUCUGGUAGCUCUGAGUUUUAUCAAAUCUGAAUUCCUUUCUGUAAAAUGACAUCUUUUACUAUUUUCCAUUGAAGUAGACAUGCUAGUGUUAAGUGUGCUUUGAUUACUUUUGUAGUUAAGCCUAACCGGUUAGUCCAAUAGCUGAAGGCAUAUAAUUCGGUUCAAGUCUCUAAUCUCCCUUGCUAAAAAGAAGUCAAAUGAAGUUUAAACCGGAAUGAAAUAUUCAUUUGAGUGGGUUUCCAAAUUUGGAUAAUUUUCUUUCGUUCUCCAUUUUGUGCAGGGAUGAGGGGAAAUUAGUCCACCUGGGUAUAGAUGUGAUAAGUGAAUAUUAUUUUGCCAUUGUCUACUCCUUGUAUACUUGACUGACUUUGAUAUUGUGCGUUUACUUAGAUGAAUUCUGUAACACCCCAAUUUAUGGAAAAAUAUAAUUAUGGAUGUCUUAGAAAUUGGAGUAUCAAUUUAUAAAGAUUUGGGGAGGAAUUUAAUUUGACAUUUGGGCUUAAAGUGGAAAUAUUAAGAGUUUUGGUGGAAAAUAAAGUUUGGGAUAAAUUGAGGGACCAAAGGGUAAUUUUGUUAAAAAAAAUCUAUAAGUGGGCGGCCUACCCACGUGAAGUCUCAACAGCAAAUAAAUAAAUUAAAA